UACGUAGGGACCGAGCGUUGUCCGGAAUCAUUGGGCGUAAAGAGCGUGUAGGCGGCCCCUUAAGUCCUGCGUGAAAUCCUGCGGCUCAACCGCAGACGGUCGUGGGAAACUGGAGGGCUAGAGUGCGGGAGAGGAGAGUGGAAUUCCCGGUGUAGCGGUGAAAUGCGGCAGAUAUCGGGAAGAACACCCGUGGCGAAGGCGGCUCUCUGGAACGCAACUGACGCUGAGACGCGAAAGCGUGGGGAGCAAACAGG
Molecule: ribosomal RNA, 254 nt
Filed under: uncultured bacterium
Lineage: Bacteria
Description: partial 16S ribosomal RNA
Rfam family: Bacterial small subunit ribosomal RNA
Source: RNAcentral